UGUCUCAAAGAUUAAGCCAUGCAUGUCUAAGCAGAAGCCGAACAACGGUAAAGCCGCGAAUGGCUCAUUACAACAGCCGUCGUUUCUUGGAUCUCUUAUUUACUUGGAUAACUGUGGUAAUUCUAGAGCUAAUACACGCACUAAAGCUCCGACCUUACGGAACGAGCGCAUUUAUUAGAACAAAACCAAUCGGGUUUCGGCCCGUCCGUUGGUGACUCUGAAUAACUACGCCGAUCGCACGGUCUCGUACCGGCGACGUAUCUUUCAAGUGUCUGCCUUAUCAACUUUCGAUGGUAGUUUAUGUGCCUACCAUGGUUGUAACGGGUAACGGAGAAUAAGGGUUCGACUCCGGAGAGGGAGCCUGAGAAACGGCUACCACAUCCAAGGAAGGCAGCAGGCGCGCAAAUUACCCACUCUCGGCACGAGGAGGUAGUGACGAAAAAUAACGAGACGGAUCUCUUUGAGGCCCGUUAUCGGAAUGAGAACAAUUCAAAUCCUUUAACGAGGAUCUAGCGGAGGGCAAGUCUGGUGCCAGCAGCCGCGGUAAUUCCAGCUCCGCAGGUGUAUAUCUAUGCUGCUGCGGUUAAAAAGCUCGUAGUUGGAUCUGCGUGCUCGGAACCGGUUGGCUCACUGAGUUUAAACUGGUCUCCGGCGCUUUAUCGGCUGGUUUUCCCUUGAUGCUCUUAACCGGGUGUCUUGGGUGGCUAGCACGUUUACUUUGAAAAAAUUAGAGUGCUCAAUACAGGCGCAAAGCCUUGAAUAGUGGUGCAUGGAAUAAUAGAAUAGGACCUCGGUUCUAUUUUGUUGGUUUUCGGAACGCGAGGUAAUGAUUAAGAGGGACAGACGGGGGCAUUCGUAUUGCGACGUUAGAGGUGAAAUUCUUGGAUCGUCGCAAGACGGACGACUGCGAAAGCAUUUGCCAAGAAUGUUUUCAUUAAUCAAGAACGAAAGUUAGAGGUUCGAAGGCGAUCAGAUACCGCCCUAGUUCUAACCGUAAACGAUGCCAACUAGCGAUCCGCUGGCGUUAAACAACGACCUAGCGGGCAGCUUCCCGGAAACGAAAGUGUUCGGGUUCCGGGGGAAGUAUGGUUGCAAAUCUGAAACUUAAAGGAAUUGACGGAAGGGCACCACCAGGAGUGGAGCCUGCGGCUUAAUUUGACUCAACACGGGAAAACUCACCCGGCCCGGACACCGUAAGGAUUGACAGAUUGAGAGCUCUUUCUUGAUUCGGUGGGUGGUGGUGCAUGGCCGUUCUUAGUUGGUGGAGCGAUUUGUCUGGUUUAUUCCGAUAACGAACGAGACUCUGGCCUACUAAAUAGUGGGCGGAUUCUUUCUGUCCGCAACACUUCUUAGAGGGACAAGCGGUGUUCAGCCGCACGAGAUUGAGCAAUAACAGGUCUGUGAUGCCC
This 1409-nucleotide ribosomal RNA is filed under the name Sabatieria punctata. RNAcentral's name for it is "SSU rRNA". It matches the Rfam family "Eukaryotic small subunit ribosomal RNA", at positions 33 to 1472 of the family's 1831-position model. The record is from RNAcentral. Lineage: Eukaryota; Metazoa; Nematoda; Chromadorea; Araeolaimida; Comesomatidae.